This 1091-nucleotide long non-coding RNA is filed under the name Suricata suricatta (meerkat). RNAcentral describes it as "lncRNA (ENSSSUG00005020123.1)". Lineage: Eukaryota; Metazoa; Chordata; Mammalia; Carnivora; Herpestidae. The record is from RNAcentral.
GGGCCUGCGCCCGUGCCCCUCCCUGUGCGCAGGCCCUUGGCUGAGGAUCUGCAGCUCCUUCUUCCAGAACGCAGGAUCCGGGUUUUGCCGUCAGACUUGCUCCGGGCAGUGAGGUGCCAGCCAGCGUCACACGGGGACAAGCUUGGAGACACGGUUCCCGUUUCCGCCAGCAUGUUCCCACCGCCGCCGCCAGCCUGAGACGCGGCCCAGCCGGCCUGGGGGCGGACGAGGGACCCGCAGGGCCUGGCCGCCCCGUUCAGCGCCGCCAGCUCCUAGACGGGCCUGGCGGAGAUCAGGGACAAGAUUCGCCCAUGGAAACUUCUGUCCCUGGCCAAGAGCUCAAGUGUCUGGCUCCCUCCUCCAUCGGCCUUUGUUCCAGUCCAUUGCAGAGGAAGCUUCCGGUCUGUUCCCGUCUCGCGUCUCCCCAUUUUCUCCAGGUCACCAGGGCACCGAGCGUGCAGGCUGUGCUGGGAACAUCGUCAUUUUCCAAGCCCUUGUGCGAAUCCUUACGCUUUGUUCAGCACACACAGCAUGUUAGUCUCGUGUGCAUAAUGAGCUUUGGAUUAAAGAAUUAAAUAACUACCCGUUCUGCUUCUCGCCGAGGCUCAAAUCCCAUUCCUGCCACUUGCUGGCUGUGUGACUUUGGGCAGGUAACUUGACCUCUCUGCACUGUGGUUCUCUGAUCUACAAAUGGGGGCUAAGAGUCGCACCGCGGCUGUGUGCGGAUUACAUUGGUGAAUCUGCGCCGAGUCCCAGGAGUGGAGCACCGGUGAGCCCGGGAGCCCCGUGCUGGGAAAGACAGAUCUGACAUUUUCUGGACAGACAGUAGGAUGUGACCCUGGCAGUGCAAGAUCGUUUCUGCCUGAACCGAAGGCUUCACGGGGAGAUCCUCUGGCCCGCUCACACGCCGAGGGCCUGAGGCGGCGGGGGGGUCCCGUGUUGGGGUGCCCACCUGCUGGCGCUGAUAGAGGGGGCAGGACUAGAAGCCUGUCCUCCUGGGCGGCCCCCGGACAACAGAUUGGAGGAGUCGGGCAGGUCCGAGGCUCCGGUUUGCGGGGAUCCGGCUCCUGCAACAGGCCGCCCGGGGUCUC